RNAcentral lists this transfer RNA (69 nucleotides) under Fukomys damarensis (Damara mole-rat). It matches the Rfam family "tRNA". From Rfam's summary of the family: Transfer RNA (tRNA) molecules are approximately 80 nucleotides in length. Their secondary structure includes four short double-helical elements and three loops (D, anti-codon, and T loops). Further hydrogen bonds mediate the characteristic L-shaped molecular structure. tRNAs have two regions of fundamental functional importance: the anti-codon, which is responsible for specific mRNA codon recognition, and the 3' end, to which the tRNAs corresponding amino acid is attached (by aminoacyl-tRNA synthetases). tRNAs cope with the degeneracy of the genetic code in two manners: having more than one tRNA (with a specific anti-codon) for a particular amino acid; and 'wobble' base-pairing, i.e. permitting non-standard base-pairing at the 3rd anti-codon position. The record is from Rfam by way of RNAcentral. Lineage: Eukaryota; Metazoa; Chordata; Mammalia; Rodentia; Bathyergidae.
GGGGAUGUAGCUUAAUGGUAAAGCAUUUACCUAGCACGUGGAAGGCCCUGGGUUCAGUCCCCAGUACCA